RNAcentral lists this long non-coding RNA (252 nucleotides) under Mytilus galloprovincialis (Mediterranean mussel). The record is from RNAcentral. Lineage: Eukaryota; Metazoa; Mollusca; Bivalvia; Mytilida; Mytilidae.
AAAUUUUAUUCGUUUUAGCAAUAAUUUUAUAAAAUUGACAAGUGUAAAACAAUAUUUUGUAAGUAUUUGCAUAAACUUUAAAAGAUUAGUACAUUUCACAUAUACAUUAUAUUCAUGUACAGCUUAUUCAUUUUGAUUGCAAUUACUAUUACUGAGUUUAUUAUCAUAACUAUGAUGAAUUUCUUACACUGUAACUGUUCAACUUUUACAUAUGCCUCAGCACCAGCAUGAAAAUAGUAUACAUGAUAAAUA